AAGAAGCAAAUUCUCAUCGAAAUUUUCAGAGAAAAAUUGUUCCAAAACCUAGAUCUAAUCUUUACAAACACAAAUCCUGAUUAUCUAAACCAAAUUCAACAUCAUCAUCACUUGUUCUUGGAAGAUUCGGUGAAAAUCAACGGAAAACGAAGUCAUAAUCAUCAGCAACAAAUGCAUCUGAAGAUUGGCCUACAAAAUCAAAUCGAUCAGAUAGGCAUACUCAUCUUUAACAUUUCAAUUGAGUUGGUUGAUUUAAUUCUGAGAUUUCGAAUUUUUAUUUUCUGAAAAAUCAUCUGGGAAACUUUAAUAUCUUCAUUUCAUUUCAAAUAUGUUACAGAAAUCAUAAAUAGAGUUAGAUCUAUUGUCUUCUUACCUCAAUUUUACUUUUGAGAGAAAAUUUCCAAAUUUCAAAGAAAAAUUUCUAGGAUUCUUAAACAAAAUUGGAUCUAUCUUUUUAAUCUCUCGCCUUGAUCAAAAAUCGGUUUUCAGAUUCGAAAUAUGUAAAUCAUUAUUCGUUUUACCCAUGCAUCUAUAUAAUAUGAAUUUCGUUUACUUUAAUUUUCGAACGACCUGAGCUCAUCUUUAAUGGAUUUUGUUCUUGGUUGAUUGUUUUAAGUUCAAUCUAUAUUUGUUACAUUCAGUACCUUGUCUUGAAGAUGAAAUCUUAAUCGAUGAAGAUAACUGGAAGCAUAUACAGUUGAAUCUAAUCAACUUCAACAACUAUUCCAAUAGAAAAUCAGUGAAAUAAGAUAAGUUUCUUUGAGGUUUUUUAUGGUUUGAAUGUAUCAUAUUGAAAUUGUAUAUACCCUAUGAUAUGAGUUCACUGUUCUUUUGUUCAGAAUUGGAUUAAUAUUUCAAUGUGAUUGAGUUUCUCAUUUUGAUGACUAUUCACAACAUGCGUAACUUUCGUAUACACAUCCAAAUUGAAUGUGUAACUUGCGUCUACACAUUCGAAUUGCAUGUGUAACUCUCAUUUGCACUAUUCAGAUGCUCUGUAAAUCCUAGUUACACUAGUCAUAUACAUGUGUAACUCCUAUUUACACAAGUCAAGUGCAUGUAAAACUAGUUAUACAUUGUUGUGUGUAUUGUUCUUUUUAAUCUCAUAAAAGCUUAUUGCUUUUUGUUUUCUUCAGGUUGCCAAUAACUCAAUAAAAUUAACUGCUUAUUUAUGGUAUUUUUGUAGGUUGGUCUUCCUGAAAUUGGAGUUGGCGCCGAAAUGAUGACUAAGAAGUGGAAUUCAUAAUUGAGCAAUUGUGGAAUUUCAGAAUGGAACUGAGGACCAAGUGAAGAAGAUUGUUGACACACUAACGGUGCCAAAAUUGCAUACAUAGAUGUUGUUGAGGUUAUGGUCAGUCCUCCAUUUGUGUUCCUUACCUCGGCUAAAAGUUCAUUGUAUCAUGAGAUUCAAGUGGAUGCUUGCUGGGUGAAGAAAGGAGGUGCUUUCACUGGUAAAGUUAGUGGAUUGACUACCUCGAACUACACAUAGCUUUCUCAAUAGUAUCAUAAGUACAAGGAUCAAGGUUUCCGAUAAAUUCAUAAAAGUUAAUUGCUUAUCUGUUGUAUUGGCCUCGUUGGAAUUGGAGUUGGCGCUGAAUACACAAGUCAGAUGCAUGUGUAACUCUGACUAGAUAGUUGUUUAUGUAACUCUCAGUUACCCUAGAAAGAUGUGUGUGUAACUUCUAGUUACACAUGCUAAGAAAUUAUUAUAAAUAAAUAUUAAAAUAAUACAUGUAUCUUUUGUAUGGGUUCUUUUUAAUGUCUAUUUUUUUGAUGUGUAACUUUG
This is a long non-coding RNA of Papaver somniferum (opium poppy), 1783 nucleotides long. RefSeq lists it as uncharacterized. The transcript has 4 exons. NCBI's taxonomy places the organism in Eukaryota, Viridiplantae, Streptophyta, Magnoliopsida, Ranunculales, Papaveraceae. The record is from RefSeq and is a predicted model, not a curated record.